RNAcentral lists this transfer RNA (73 nucleotides) under Cordylochernes scorpioides. RNAcentral describes it as "tRNA-Thr". It matches the Rfam family "tRNA". From Rfam's summary of the family: Transfer RNA (tRNA) molecules are approximately 80 nucleotides in length. Their secondary structure includes four short double-helical elements and three loops (D, anti-codon, and T loops). The record is from RNAcentral. Lineage: Eukaryota; Metazoa; Arthropoda; Arachnida; Pseudoscorpiones; Chernetidae.
UCCAGGGUAGCCUAGUGGACAUGGUAUCUGCCCAGUAAGCAGAACACUGUGGGUUUGAUUCCCAUCCCUGGAC